Molecule: transfer RNA, 66 nt
Filed under: Dasysyrphus albostriatus
Lineage: Eukaryota; Metazoa; Arthropoda; Insecta; Diptera; Syrphidae
Description: tRNA-Ala
Source: RNAcentral
AGGGUUAUAGUUAAAAUAUAACAUUUGAUUUGCAUUCAAAAAUUAUUUAUUACAUAAAUAAAUUUA